Molecule: ribosomal RNA, 598 nt
Filed under: uncultured bacterium
Lineage: Bacteria
Description: bacterial SSU rRNA
Rfam family: Bacterial small subunit ribosomal RNA
Source: RNAcentral
GAGUUUGAUCCUGGCUCAAGAUAAACGCUGGCGGCGCACAUAAGACAUGCAAGUCGAACGGAAGUCGUUGUAAUGAUGUGGACAUAGACAGAGAACUUGUUCGAAGAAAAUGAAAAUUGACUUACAACAAUGGCUUUAGUGGCGGACUGGUGAGUAACGCGUGAGCAACCUGCCUGUUAGAGGGGAAUAACAGUGAGAAAUCAUUGCUAAUACCGCAUAUGCCAUAACUAUCACAUGAUAGAAGUGGGAAAGGAGUAAUCCGCUAACAGAUGGGCUCGCGUCUGAUUAGAUAGUUGGUGGGGUAACGGCCUACCAAGUCUACGAUCAGUAGCCGGACUGAGAGGUUGAACGGCCACAUUGGGACUGAGAUACGGCCCAGACUCCUACGGGAGGCAGCAGUCGGGAAUAUUGCGCAAUGGAGGAAACUCUGACGCAGUGACGCCGCGUAUAGGACGAAGGUCUUCGGAUUGUAAACUAUUGUCGUUAGGGAAGAGAAAGGACAGUACCUAAGGAGGAAGCUCCGGCUAACUACGUGCCAGCAGCCGCGGUAAUACGUANGGAGCAAGCGUUAUCCGGAUUUAUUGGGUGUAAAGGGUGC